RNAcentral lists this unclassified non-coding RNA (1200 nucleotides) under Caenorhabditis elegans. Its description in RNAcentral is "Non-coding transcript of protein-coding gene lip-1". Lineage: Eukaryota; Metazoa; Nematoda; Chromadorea; Rhabditida; Rhabditidae. The record is from RNAcentral.
AUGACAACUCACCUACCGAGCACAUCUCAAAAUGGCGAAGAGAUAUCUGCUGAGCAAUUCAACAGGAUAUUUCACGAACGCAACGUCAUCGUUCUGGAUUGUCGAUCAAAUGGUGAUUCAGUGAAACGAGCCAAUCGAUUCUUUUGCAGUCUUCGAUUACCGGCUCUCCUUCAACGCCGUUUAAUGGGCGGUUCAAUGCGACUUUCAACAGUACCUGAUCUGAAGGAUCUGAAUAAUUCUCCUGAUCAAUGUCCCGAAGUUCUUCUCAUCCCCGGCGACAGUGAACAAGACGAGCAGCUCUCGGCAGCUUUAGCUCGAAAUCUGAAAUCCAACCACUAUCGUCAUUUUGUGCUCGGCGAGCCUGUCAAGACACUUCUCUCCCAGUUUCCGACCCUUCGUGAUGCAGCCGACGAAAAUUGGAACACCACGUUUCAAAUGAACUCGAUGCCGGGUCAAGCAAGUGGGCAACAAGCAUCAAGUGGACCGCUUCUUAACUUAAACCAACUCCGAUUGGAAGGUGAAGAUCAAGGCGGAAAACAACGUGCAGAGUUUCCUGUAAAGUUAACCAAUUUCUUGUAUCUUGGAAACGCGGAGACCGCUAAAAAUCGAGAUGUUCUUAAAAAGUGACACUAUUAUUCGAUAUUAUAUAUAUUCUUAACAAAAAACCCAAUUUUCAGAUAUUCUAUCUCACAUGUAAUAAAUGUCACAUCAAAUUUGCCAAACACGUUCGAAGAAGACCCAAAUAUGCGAUAUUUAAGAAUAUCGGCCGAUGAUAACGCUUCACAUAAUCUAACAAAAUUCUUCCCUGAAGCCAUAUCCUUCAUUGAUGAUGCGCGACGCAACGAUUCAGCAUGUCUUGUGCAUUGUCUGGCUGGAAUUUCCAGAAGCGUUACAAUAUGUCUGGCGUAUCUCAUGAAGACUGAAAUGUGUACUCUUGAUUCUGCCUACGAAUGGGUUCAAAAGAGAAAUGCAAGCAUUGCUCCAAAUUUUCAUUUUAUGGGACAACUCACAGACUACGAGAAGAUGUUGGGAUUGAAUAGCAAUCGAGUCGGGACAUAUCCUUCCUCGGCUCCUCGUUCUCCAUCUUGUGCCAUCGAAGCAGCAGCAGUAUCACAAGUUGGAGGCCUUCUAACUCCACCACCAACAAGCUGUUCGGCGUCACCUCAAUCGAGUAAUCACUCGGCAAAGUCAUUUCACUAG